GUUGAGUAUGCCUCCCUGCCUCCAACUAGGACAUAAAGUUGAUCUUCCAUGUCAUUUUUCUUAAAAGUAACUCUAAAAUAAGUUUCUUUCAAACCUUCUAAAUUAUUCUCUUUCCCUAAUGGCUUGUUGUAUUCUUCCCCAGCAGAAAUGACUAAAAUAGCCCUAUUGCACUUAAUCUAAUUAGGGAUUUUUGGAGAAAUGGUGGUUACAUAGUUCUCAUUAACUGACUAAAAAACUGUACCAUCUCCAGAGGUAUAGAUAUUAAAAAGCGGGGGAGGGGGAUGAUUCCUUUUAAAGCUCCAGAAAUGAAUGUAAGUGUUCAUAUUCUGGUACAUUAACAGUUUGUUCCAGUACAUUGAUAUUUUAUGUGGAAGCCCUACUCUGCAAUUAAUAUGCCUGAUGCAAAUUGAAAAACCCAUAAUCCAUCCUUCUCUGUUGGAAUGUAAGAGUAUAUUAUUAUUGAGAAGCUACAGGAUACCAGAACCAUUUUUUAAACUUGACUGCUCAUUACCUUAAAUCUGCAUAUAAAACAGUUUUGCAUUCAGACGAGGUAAUACAUACCGGAAUAUAUUGUGGCGCAUAUUAAAAAAAGUGCUCCAAAUAAAAACGACCUGUGGGCUUCCUUUGUAGAAGAAAUUUAUGCAGUUCCAGGCAUUAGGGAUUAAUGAUAGCUAAGAGCAAAAGAGAAGGAAUGAGCAUUAAAACAUUGUGCCUAACUUUCCUGACUACCCCAAGGCUAAAAGACAAAGUGAAUUGUCAAAUCUCCUUAAAGGUAAGGACUAUGAAUUUAUAUUAAGUAAAUAUGAUAUUUGGGGAUUGCAUCUGGUUCUGUCACAUUAGUAUUCAGAAUAUUUCUUAUAGCUUUAAAGGAGAAAAGACAACCUUAAUGGAGGUAUGAGAGAAGAAAGAUUUUAAAAAUCCUUUGUUUCUAACAGCUUAGAGAGCCUCUUUCCUUUGUCUUGUUUCCAAAAUUAUGCAUACAAUUCUUCACAGGACAUAAAAUGCUAUUGUCUGCUAUGACUGACAAAAUCCAAGAUUUUAAUGGAAGUUAUACUGUAACUAUUUUAAAGGGAAGGGGAAUCACACAUCCCUAAGAGAUUCAAAUGUAAUAUAUUCUCAAAAAUGGAAAGAUCCCAGGGAUACAGAUUUCGUUCUUUCACGGAUUUCUCCUAAGCCUGUUCAAUUCAUUUGAUCAUCACCGCCUGUGAUCUGGGUUUUAUUAACAUUUUAGCAUUUGAUUGGACCCUUCUUACCUCUCUGUCUAUCCAUCACUUAAGACAUUUAGUGCUGCCUCCUGGCAGUUAUCUGUGUAAUUGUUUUAUUUCACUCACUAAGUGAUAAGAUCCUUGAGGCAAGACGCUAUGCGAUAUGGCCUGUAUCUUCCACAAUAAGUAAUCACAUUGAUUCAAAAGAUUCCCUCACAAUACAUUUUUAUUGCAAAAAUGAUUUUGUAUUUAUCCAUUUUGGAAAAGAAAUUUUAUCUCUUGAGCCCCUAAAAAUGGAAUUGUACACAUUAAGACCCUUACACAUAUCACAUAAUAAUCUUCAGGGUCAAACAUUAUAGUUUUCACCUGCUGCUAUUCCUUUGCAGUAGACUAGAAUAGAGAAUUAUAUAAAACUUCUAUGACUGUCAAAAAAAUGAUAUAUUUUUUGAAAUCAUGUAAAAUCAACCUUCUUUAUUUUACAGAUAUAGAAAUUUAGAUCUGUAAGGACCAUCAGUGUGGUGAAGGUCACAUGAUUUCAGAGAACGUAUGGAAGCACCUGG
Molecule: long non-coding RNA, 1765 nt
Filed under: Homo sapiens (human)
Lineage: Eukaryota; Metazoa; Chordata; Mammalia; Primates; Hominidae
Description: HSALNT0149512
Source: RNAcentral